This 604-nucleotide ribosomal RNA is filed under the name Rothia terrae. RNAcentral describes it as "bacterial SSU rRNA". It matches the Rfam family "Bacterial small subunit ribosomal RNA", at positions 75 to 687 of the family's 1533-position model. The record is from RNAcentral. Lineage: Bacteria; Bacillati; Actinomycetota; Actinomycetes; Micrococcales; Micrococcaceae.
GGUGCUUGCACUGGUUGGAUUAGUGGCGAACGGGUGAGUAAUACGUGAGUAACCUGCCUUUGACUCUGGGAUAAGCCUUGGAAACGAGGUCUAAUACCGGAUAUGACACAGUUUCGCAUGAAAUCUGUGUGGAAAGGGUUUGUACUGGUUUUAGAUGGGCUCACGGCCUAUCAGCUUGUUGGUGGGGUAAUGGCUCACCAAGGCGACGACGGGUAGCCGGCCUGAGAGGGUGACCGGCCACACUGGGACUGAGACACGGCCCAGACUCCUACGGGAGGCAGCAGUGGGGAAUAUUGCACAAUGGGCGCAAGCCUGAUGCAGCGACGCCGCGUGAGGGAUGACGGCCUUCGGGUUGUAAACCUCUUUCAGCAGGGGAGAAGCGAAAGUGACGGUACCUGCAGAAGAAGCGCCGGCUAACUACGUGCCAGCAGCCGCGGUAAUACGUAGGGCGCGAGCGUUGUCCGGAAUUAUUGGGCGUAAAGAGCUUGUAGGCGGUUUGUCGCGUCUGCUGUGAAAGCCCGGGGCUUAACUCCGGGUUUGCAGUGGGUACGGGCUAACUAGAGUGCAGUAGGGGAGACUGGAAUUCCUGGUGUAGCGGUGGAAU